Molecule: ribosomal RNA, 939 nt
Filed under: Bacillus altitudinis
Lineage: Bacteria; Bacillati; Bacillota; Bacilli; Caryophanales; Bacillaceae
Description: bacterial SSU rRNA
Rfam family: Bacterial small subunit ribosomal RNA
Source: RNAcentral
UCACGGGCGGUGCCUAAUACAUGCAAGUCGAGCGGACAGAAGGGAGCUUGCUCCCGGAUGUUAGCGGCGGACGGGUGAGUAACACGUGGGUAACCUGCCUGUAAGACUGGGAUAACUCCGGGAAACCGGAGCUAAUACCGGAUAGUUCCUUGAACCGCAUGGUUCAAGGAUGAAAGACGGUUUCGGCUGUCACUUACAGAUGGACCCGCGGCGCAUUAGCUAGUUGGUGAGGUAACGGCUCACCAAGGCGACGAUGCGUAGCCGACCUGAGAGGGUGAUCGGCCACACUGGGACUGAGACACGGCCCAGACUCCUACGGGAGGCAGCAGUAGGGAAUCUUCCGCAAUGGACGAAAGUCUGACGGAGCAACGCCGCGUGAGUGAUGAAGGUUUUCGGAUCGUAAAGCUCUGUUGUUAGGGAAGAACAAGUGCAAGAGUAACUGCUUGCACCUUGACGGUACCUAACCAGAAAGCCACGGCUAACUACGUGCCAGCAGCCGCGGUAAUACGUAGGUGGCAAGCGUUGUCCGGAAUUAUUGGGCGUAAAGGGCUCGCAGGCGGUUUCUUAAGUCUGAUGUGAAAGCCCCCGGCUCAACCGGGGAGGGUCAUUGGAAACUGGGAAACUUGAGUGCAGAAGAGGAGAGUGGAAUUCCACGUGUAGCGGUGAAAUGCGUAGAGAUGUGGAGGAACACCAGUGGCGAAGGCGACUCUCUGGUCUGUAACUGACGCUGAGGAGCGAAAGCGUGGGGAGCGAACAGGAUUAGAUACCCUGGUAGUCCACGCCGUAAACGAUGAGUGCUAAGUGUUAGGGGGUUUCCGCCCCUUAGUGCUGCAGCUAACGCAUUAAGCACUCCGCCUGGGGAGUACGGUCGCAAGACUGAAACUCAAAGGAAUUGACGGGGGCCCGCACAAGCGGUGGAGCAUGUGGUUUAAUUCGAAG